Molecule: ribosomal RNA, 435 nt
Filed under: uncultured bacterium
Lineage: Bacteria
Description: bacterial SSU rRNA
Rfam family: Bacterial small subunit ribosomal RNA
Source: RNAcentral
UCGGGAAUUUUGGGCAAUGGGCGAAAGCCUGACCCAGCAACGCCGCGUGAAGGAUGAAGUAUUUCGGUAUGUAAACUUCGAAAGAAUAGGAAGAAUAAAUGACGGUACUAUUUAUAAGGUCCGGCUAACUACGUGCCAGCAGCCGCGGUAAUACGUAGGGACCAAGCGUUGUUCGGAUUUACUGGGCGUAAAGGGCGCGUAGGCGGCCUGCUAAGUCGAACGUGAAAUCCCCGGGCUCAACCCGGGAACUGCGUCCGAUACUGGCAGGCUUGAAUUCGGGAGAGGGAUGCGGAAUUCCAGGUGUAGCGGUGAAAUGCGUAGAUAUCUGGAGGAACACCGGUGGCGAAGGCGGCAUCCUGGACCCGGUAUUGACGCUGAGGCGCGAAAGCCAGGGGAGCAAACGGGAUUAGAUACCCCAGUAGUCCCUGAGCGGGC